RNAcentral lists this ribosomal RNA (437 nucleotides) under uncultured bacterium. RNAcentral describes it as "partial 16S ribosomal RNA". It matches the Rfam family "Bacterial small subunit ribosomal RNA", at positions 28 to 507 of the family's 1533-position model. The record is from RNAcentral.
GAUGAACGCUGGCGGCAUGCUUAACACAUGCGAGUCGAACGGGAAGUGGUGUUUCCAGUGGCGAACGGGUGAGUAACGCGUAAGAACCUGCCCUUGGGAGGGGAAUAACAACUGGAAACGGUUGCUAAUACCCCGUAGGCUGAGGAGCAAAAGGAGAAAUCCGCCCAAGGAGGGGCUCGCGUCUGAUUAGCUAGUUGGUGAGGUAAUAGCUUACCAAGGCGAUGAUCAGUAGCUGGUCCGAGAGGAUGAUCAGCCACACUGGGACUGAGACACGGCCCAGACUCCUACGGGAGGCAGCAGUGGGGAAUUUUCCGCAAUGGGCGAAAGCCUGACGGAGCAAUGCCGCGUGGAGGUGGAAGGCCUACGGGUCGUCAACUUCUUUUCUCGGAGAAGAAACAAUGACGGUAUCUGAGGAAUAAGCAUCGGCUAACUCUGUG